This is a non-coding RNA of Odocoileus virginianus texanus, 378 nucleotides long. The record is from RefSeq and is a predicted model, not a curated record. Lineage: Eukaryota; Metazoa; Chordata; Mammalia; Artiodactyla; Cervidae.
CAACUUCUAGCAGGGGCUUUGUAGAGCGGAAGGUGGGGGUGGAGGAAGGAUCAGGGGGCACAGAAGUGGAAAGCUGGACAGUGGCUCUCAAGACGGAAGAGGGUGCAGAAUCGAGAGUCCCGCCAACAAGGCUUUAUGCCUCUUUUCUUCAAGCAGACUCAGAUCCGGGAGGACUGGGGGCUCUUUCUGCUGACUCAUCUUGGAGGAAGGACCACAGAGAAGAAGCAAAGACUCUGAGGAGAAUUCGAAGGGCUCCAGGAAGAGAGUGAGGCGGCUGCCCCAGAUUUGUCUGACACAUCGCGGUCACGUGGACUCCAUUAGCGGAUGACUGAGGCCGUGAGCAGGCAGCCUAAAGGAAUGUUGUAGAAACGAUGAGAG